AUAGCUCAGUGGUAUAAGCAUCUGCCUGGCAAGCACAAGGUCCUGAGUUCAAUUCCCAGU
Molecule: transfer RNA, 60 nt
Filed under: Cavia porcellus (domestic guinea pig)
Lineage: Eukaryota; Metazoa; Chordata; Mammalia; Rodentia; Caviidae
Rfam family: tRNA
About the family: Transfer RNA (tRNA) molecules are approximately 80 nucleotides in length.
Source: Rfam by way of RNAcentral